Molecule: ribosomal RNA, 493 nt
Filed under: uncultured bacterium
Lineage: Bacteria
Description: bacterial SSU rRNA
Rfam family: Bacterial small subunit ribosomal RNA
Source: RNAcentral
CGCUCGCGACAGCUAACACAUGCAAGUCGAGGGGCAUCACGGGAGUAGCAAUACAACUGGUGGCGACCGGCGCACGGGUGAGUAACGCGUAUGCAACCUACCUAUCAGAGGGGAAUAACCCGGCGAAAGUCGGACUAAUACCGCAUAAAACAGGGGCACCGCAUGGUGAUAUUUGUUAAAGAAAUUCGCUGAUAGAUGGGCAUGCGUUCCAUUAGGUAGUUGGUGAGGUAACGGCUCACCAAGCCGACGAUGGAUAGGGGAACUGAGAGGUUGGUCCCCCACACUGGUACUGAGACACGGACCAGACUCCUACGGGAGGCAGCAGUGAGGAAUAUUGGUCAAUGGGCGGGGGCCUGAACCAGCCAAGUCGCGUGAAGGAAAAGAAGGAUCUAUGGUUCGUAAACUUCUUUUGCAGGGGAAUAAAGUGCAGGACGUGUCCUGUUUUGUAUGUACCCUGAGAAUAAGGAUCGGCUAACUCCGUGCCAGCAGCUGC